This 497-nucleotide ribosomal RNA is filed under the name uncultured bacterium. Its description in RNAcentral is "partial 16S ribosomal RNA". It matches the Rfam family "Bacterial small subunit ribosomal RNA", at positions 28 to 507 of the family's 1533-position model. The record is from RNAcentral.
GAUGAACGCUGGCGGCGUGCCUAAUACAUGCAAGUCGAGCGAACAGACGAGGAGCUUGCUCCUCUGACGUUAGCGGCGGACGGGUGAGUAACACGUGGAUAACCUACCUAUAAGACUGGGAUAACUUCGGGAAACCGGAGCUAAUACCGGAUAAUAUAUUGAACCGCAUGGUUCAAUAGUGAAAGACGGUUUUGCUGUCACUUAUAGAUGGAUCCGCGCCGCAUUAGCUAGUUGGUAAGGUAACGGCUUACCAAGGCAACGAUGCGUAGCCGACCUGAGAGGGUGAUCGGCCACACUGGAACUGAGACACGGUCCAGACUCCUACGGGAGGCAGCAGUAGGGAACCUUCCGCAAUGGGGGAAAGCAUGACGGAGCAACGCCGCGUGAGUGAUGAAGGUCUUCGGAUCGUAAAACUCUGUUAUUAGGGAAGAACAAAUGUGUAAGUAACUAUGCACGUCUUGACGGUACCUAAUCAGAAAGCCACGGCUAACUACGUG